GAAAUGCGAUAAUUAAUGUGAAUUGCAGAAUUCAGUGAAUCAUCGAGUCUUUGAACGCACAUUGCGCCCCCUGGUAUUCCGGGGGGCAUGCCUGUCCGAGCGUCAUUGCUGCCCUCAAGCACGGCUUGUGUGUUGGGCUUCCGUCCCUGGCAACGGGGACGGGCCCAAAAGGCAGUGGCGGCACCAUGUCUGGUCCUCGAGCGUACGGGGCUUUGUCACCCGCUCCCGUAGGUCCAGCUGGCAGCUAGCCUCGCAACCAAUCUUUUUAACCAGGUUGACCUCGGAUCAGGUAGGGAUACCCGCUGAACUUAAGC
This 314-nucleotide unclassified non-coding RNA is filed under the name plant metagenome. RNAcentral describes it as "partial contains 5.8S ribosomal RNA, internal transcribed spacer 2, and large subunit ribosomal RNA". The stretch from base 1 to 105 matches the Rfam family "5.8S ribosomal RNA", at positions 50 to 154 of the family's 154-position model. The record is from RNAcentral.